UGAUUAGUGGCGAACGGGUGAGUAACACGUGGGCAAUCUGCCCUUCACUCUGGGACAAGCCCUGGAAACGGGGUCUAAUACCGGAUAACACCCCCUCUCGCAUGGGAGGGGGUUGAAAGCUCCGGCGGUGAAGGAUGAGCCCGCGGCCUAUCAGCUAGUUGGUGAGGUAGAAGCUCACCAAGGCGACGACGGGUAGCCGGCCUGAGAGGGCGACCGGCCACACUGGGACUGAGACACGGCCCAGACUCCUACGGGAGGCAGCAGUGGGGAAUAUUGCACAAUGGGCGAAAGCCUGAUGCAGCGACGCCGCGUGAGGGAUGACGGCCUUCGGGUUGUAAACCUCUUUCAGCAGGGAAGAAGCGAGAGUGACGGUACCUGCAGAAGAAGCGCCGGCUAACUACGUGCCAGCAGCCGCGGUAAUACGUAGGGCGCAAGCGUUGUCCGGAAUUAUUGGGCGUAAAGAGCUCGUAGGCGGCUUGUCGCGUCGGUUGUGAAAGCCCGGGGCUUAACCCCGGGUCUGCAGUCGAUACGGGCAGGCUAGAGUUCGGUA
Molecule: ribosomal RNA, 550 nt
Filed under: uncultured bacterium
Lineage: Bacteria
Description: bacterial SSU rRNA
Rfam family: Bacterial small subunit ribosomal RNA
Source: RNAcentral